GGUGGCAGACAUCAUUUCUUCAAUGAACUUAGUAUUUAGAAAGAUAUCUUCACUCCAAGCAUCAAGUCUUUUCUGUCCUGCAAAAGUCUUAAGUCAAACCAGAAUCCACUAGUAGAGGGCACCUUUGGAUUCAACAGUAAAAGGAGAAUCUACAAAACCAGCUCAUCAAAAGGAUAUUGAAUGAAGCUAUGAUACCUGUAGCAGUUACUGCCAUUUUGGACCCAUAAACUGACAAUCCUUAAACAUUACCAGGAGGGCAGAGCGGAAAGAACAUUGAUGUCAUCACUGAGUUGCUGGAUUACCUUACUCUAGAAAUAGCCAACUCUGCAUGUUUGGUUAUUUUUUUAAAAAGUCUUCUUUAUUAUUUACAUCAUUUUGAAUGGGCUCUAACUCUAGCUCUUAUAGUAAAAAGCAUUUGAACUGAUACAAAUAAUUAUCUCCAUAUGGUUAUUUUGAGAAUUAAAUGAGAUAACACAUAAAAUGUAUGCUUGGGACAACGUCAUACAUAACACUCAAGAGUACAUAUUGUUAGUAUUAUUGAUGUUGUUGAUGUUAAAGCUGUUACUUCCUGCAAUGAUCUUGCAAUGCAUCAGGUUUUGACUUUAGUUUUGGGCAAAAUUAUGAGGCUUGAUUAGGAAAACAUGAUGAAAAUUUUAUUUCCUACAGCCCAUUUUCUUCUUUCAGCAUGUCUUUUACUUACUUUCAUGCCCCUUUGAGUCUCCCCAAUCAUCUAGAAAGGGGAUCUACUAGUGAUGGCAACAAAGGAGCAUGGACUGCUUAAUAAGGCAAUUUUUAACCCAAAAGAAUAAAUCCCAGCGUUAGAAUUCCAAACACAAUAUCAAGUUGUGGGUAAGAAUUUGGAGUAAGCAGGACUUCUCUACAUCUCCAAAAUGUUAUCACACAAGCCUCUACCUGUAUGUAAAGCCAAACUUUCCAGUAUACAAUUGGGCACUAAAUUCCAGAUAGUUUUUUUUAUCUGGUCAUGGCCUUGUAAGAAAAGAAUUCUCCUUUCCUGUUUAAUGUUAACAUUUAAUAACUAUCAGGUGGUGACCUGGGCACUGCAGAUCAUUAUCUGUUGUCAGUGACAGUGCUGUUCAUUUUCAAACCAGUAAGAGAAGUUUUUUUUUCCUUUUCGUAUCCGUAAAAUUUGUGAGGGAUUUAAAACUUGAAAAAUGUGGGUUUUUCUUGCAUUUCCAAUGGACUAGGUCUUUACAAUCAUUAACUGUUUUAAAGUUGAGAAGAGCUGCUAAAUUCUUCCGAGCGUGAAAAAAGAUGGGCAUGUGCUGUAAAUUGACAUAAAAAAAGUGGCAGCUUUGAAAGUUUGCAAGAUCAUUUUUACCAGAGCUUAUAUUUGGUAUGAGAUAUCAGUAAAGCAGUUUUUUUUUGUUUUUUUUUUGUUUGUUUGUUUUUGAGAUGGAGUCUCACUCUGUUGCCCAGGCUGGAGUGCAGAGGUGCCAUCUUGGCUCACUGCAACUUCUAUCUCCUGGGUUCAAGCAAUUCUCCUGCCUCAGCCUCCCGAGUAGCUGGGAUUACAGGUGCGUGCCUCCAUGCCCGGCUAAUUUUUUGUACUUUUAGUAGAGACGAGGUUUCACCAUGUUGGCCAGGAUGGUUUUGUUCUCCUGACUUUGUGAUCCGCCCACCUCGGCCUCCCAAAGUGGAGGGAUUACAGGGGUGAGCCACUGCACCCAGCUGUAAAGCAGAUUAUUAGGAGGAAUAGUUAACUAGGAAAAAAAGGACAAACAUCACAUUUCACUUCUAUCUGCCCUUAAGAAAUAUGACAAUAAUCUGAAAAAUUGUCUAAAAUACCUAGAAUGCCUUGAGAUCAAUUUGAUGACUUAUCUGUUAGACAACUAUACAGAAGGCAGAUCUCUUCAUUGCAAUGCCCCCAAGAAGGCCUUAAAGGGACUGUUUUCUCCGCUAUGUUCUAUCUAUCCUCACAGGUAGGACCAGCUAUACAAUUUUAUUAAGAAUUUUAAGACAAUGAUAAUAGAGCAUUAAUCCAGCACAGGACCCUUCUGACCUGAUUCUGUGCUACUACACAGGAUGUCUAUCUGUGAAGCUGGCCCUGCUGGAAGGGUCUGAUUUUACUCAUCUCUCUGCUCCUUUAGUGCUGGGUAAGUGAAGCAGAGGAAAGAGAAUGUAGAGAGACAGACAUGAUUGAAAACUUGGCUUUUUUUCUUUUUAAAUGUGUGGAUGUGAGUGGGUGAGUUAAAGUCUUUGUCUGUUGCAUGACACUGUUCAGAAAGUCUAAUGCUGCAUCUUGCACAAGAGGGUCUCAGUAAAUGGUUCAGGAGACUUUGGGUUUGAAUUCUAUAAAAACCUAGUCUGUUGUCCAGGUGACUAUGGCUCUAUUUGAGUGAGUGCUAGGUCAUGGUUUUAUGGGCUUUAUUUCAUUCUAUAGCAUACAUCCUAAUGUUAGCUUAUAAAUACAAUCAUGCAUUGCUUAAUAAUGGAGAUACAUUCUGAGAAAUACAUCAUUAGACAAUUUCAUCCUGUGGGAACAUCAUAAAGUAUACGUAUGCAAACCUAGAUGAUACGGGCUACUACACAGCUGAGUUAUAAGGUAUCACCUAUUGCUCCUAGGCUAUAAACCUGUGCUGCAAACCUGUACAGCAUGUUACUCUACUGAACAUUGUAGGCGACCGUAACACAGUGGUAAGUGUUGUGUGUCUAAACAUAUCUAAACAGAAAAGGUACAAUAAAAAUAUAGUAUAAAAAGUUUUUAAACUUGUGCACCCAUACAGAGCACUUACCAUGAAAAAAAAAGCUUUCAGGGCUGGGAGUUGUUCUGAUGAGUCAGUGAGUGUGUGUUGAGUGAAUGUGAAGGUCUAGGAUAUUACUGUACACUACUGUGGAAUUUUUAUACACCAUACACUUAGGCUACAUUGAAUUUAUAAAAAAAAAAAAAAGUAAUUAUGCCUCAGCAUUACAGUGGCUAUGAUGUCACUAUGCAAUGGGAAUUUUUCAGCUUCAUUAUAAUCUUAUGGGAUCACCAUCAUAUAUGCAGUCCAUCCUUGACUGAACCAUCGUUAUGUGUCACAUGACUGUGUACGAGUUUGGUCACAAGAAAAGCUGAUUGAGAAGUCCUGGAGUGGCUAAAUCCACUCUCAUCACAUAAAAACUAAUUCAGAAGGUUUGGCAGUAUUGUAUCUCUAUAUAGUAGGUGGCAUAUUGUUAUCAUUACAAAUAAUGGAAGAUUUUCUCCUUUCUUUUACUGUUUUAUAUUGCUUAACAUAUUCCAGAUAGGUAAUGGCAUUUAUGUCUUUUACUUUUUUGCUUUGAAUUGACAAUCGUAAUAUGUCUCUAAUCUAAAAGCCAAUGUCUAAAUUCCAAAUAACAUAGAAAUAAGGUGCUUCUUUGGAAAUCCUCAGUUAAAAUAAACUAAAAUAUCCUUUGUUUGAACUUC
Homo sapiens (human) is the source of this 3406-nucleotide long non-coding RNA. RefSeq lists it as uncharacterized. The transcript is spliced from 3 exons. Lineage: Eukaryota; Metazoa; Chordata; Mammalia; Primates; Hominidae. The record is from RefSeq and is a predicted model, not a curated record.